UGCAAGUCGAACGGUAACAGGAAGCAGCUUGCUGCUUUGCUGACGAGUGGCGGACGGGUGAGUAAUGUCUGGGAAACUGCCUGAUGGAGGGGGAUAACUACUGGAAACGGUGGCUAAUACCGCAUAACGUCGCAAGACCAAAGAGGGGGACCUUCGGGCCUCUUGCCAUCAGAUGUGCCCAGAUGGGAUUAGCUUGUUGGUGAGGUAACGGCUCACCAAGGCGACGAUCCCUAGCUGGUCUGAGAGGAUGACCAGCCACACUGGAACUGAGACACGGUCCAGACUCCUACGGGAGGCAGCAGUGGGGAAUAUUGCACAAUGGGCGCAAGCCUGAUGCAGCCAUGCCGCGUGUAUGAAGAAGGCCUUCGGGUUGUAAAGUACUUUCAGCGGGGAGG
This 395-nucleotide ribosomal RNA is filed under the name Salmonella enterica subsp. enterica serovar Derby. RNAcentral describes it as "bacterial SSU rRNA". It matches the Rfam family "Bacterial small subunit ribosomal RNA", at positions 56 to 447 of the family's 1533-position model. Lineage: Bacteria; Pseudomonadati; Pseudomonadota; Gammaproteobacteria; Enterobacterales; Enterobacteriaceae. The record is from RNAcentral.